GACAACAUGAGGUAGCAGUGGCAGACAACAUGAGGUAGCAGUGGCAGACAACAUUGUCAGUAUAGCUACUGAAUUCCCUAUACAUAUGCUUGUGUAAUAUGUUGUAGAUUGUAUCAUCCAUGUAUACAUUUAGGCUCCCUGCUCAGCUAGGCCCAGUGGCUAGCAUGUGUGACGUCAUGUGAUGCCACAUGUGAGCUUCAGACGCUCUGCCUCUCUCAGUUCACCGAUAGACCCAACAAGUGUGUUUAUCUCCAACCAUUAUAUUUCCACGGAACCCUCCCAACAAAUGGCGGCAACGGUGGUCGCGUAAAUCUGAUAUUUACGCAGAUGCACGGAAAUUAACUUCUACCAGCCGACAAACAUUGUGUUGACCGCAUGGCGGCCUAAACAGCCAGCUACCCCGCCCAAGCACUCAACAGCCUCUCUGCACUACUUCCUGGUUAUUCUUUGUGCUUUCUCUGCUUAAUUGCAUUACUUUCGAGGGGUUGACCCGAGUUUGCAAAUUAAGCCAGCAAGCCAGUCUGUGGGGGGAGACAAGCUCUAAGCCACCCAGCCUGACCCAGUCCUAGCCUAGCCUGCUAAGCCAGCUAUCCACCCUGCUGUGCUCGUCAGUACAAGUUCUCAAGCCAGUCUGUGUGAAGGGUUAAGCCAAGCAAGCCAGCCAUCUAACCCAGGUGACUAACCCCCAGUACUCAAGCUGUGAAAAUUUGUGUGGACUGCCUCCAAGUGAGUCACCUACCCUUGCAAACUCUGUUGACACCGAGCUCUGAGGUGGGUACCUCAGCCUCACAAGUGGCUUAUAGGACAGAUUUUCACAAAUGAUUGAUGUUGCAAGAAACUCGCCUGCAUGCACGUAUAAAGGACUAACUUACUUGGUGUUGCAGCAUAUAUCCUGAUCUUCAACUUCCCUAAGCUUAGCCUUAGCCCCUUUGGACUUUCCUUCAGAAACCAUGUGCAACCAGGAGCCUGAAUUCCUGCAAUAUUCAAUCGUUAUUAGUGUCCUGCCUGCACCUCAGAAAUUCCUAUAUCCAAAGGGUAUGUAUCCCCUAGUAUAACUAUGCAGACACUGACACUAGCUUCCAGACUGCUCUGAGACACUGGUACUUACUGGGCAUGCUCUGCCUGUUGCACACCGGGCCCACAGAUCAACUCGCUCACAAUCUCCCCAGACACUGGCCAGAAAUCUACGAGAUAAAAGUGGAGGUCUUGUCUUACUGUAUGGGCCAGACGGAGGUCAUCUACGGUACUUCGAGGUGCCUCUACCAAAUUUCCCCAGGUCUCAGAUGUGAAGACACGUGGGGGGGGCGCCGUCUGCUGAUCACGGCACGUCUUGUCCAGUUGGUGUCUGUCUUAAGAAGAACGAGCUGGUCUCUCUUCCAUAGCCUCGUCUCUUCGUUCAAACUAGGGCUGCCAGUUCUCCCUAGCUAACUUAUCCUAGUGUUUGCCUACAUUAUCGGCCUAUUACUACCCAUGUUAAGGUCUUAGGUCUACAUUAUUAUUAUCUACAGAUGCCUUAGUAAACCUAAUAUUAGUGUACUAACAGUAAAACUACCUACUCCUUCCCUGAAGAGUAAAUCUAUAAAUUAAAUAAAUGCCUACCAACAAUCCACCGCCAACUAAAGAGAAUGCUGUUUGUUUGGGAGGGUUUUAAGGGCCAUCCAGCUCAGCCGUUCCAUCACGACCAUGCUGGAUCUGUCCUGUGGAACUUUAGAGACCAAAUAAAUUUCCACACAAGCAAGCCACGUGAGUUCCAGCCUUCACCAUCGCUUUGUGCUCCCAGUUCAAAGCCAUCCUGAGUGCUUAUAACAUCCAUGUGGUAUUUUCUGGGUUUUUAAGAAAGCUUGGCUUAGAAUAUUCUCGUGCCUGUUUGGGUGUAAGCCAGAGCACGUGGGUAUGCCGAUCAUCCAGUCGGCCUAGCCACUCACUCAAUGACUCAGCGCUGCCUCGCUCACCCACACCUACCCACCACCAUUGUUUUUCACCCUUAAAUCGGGUCCUAGCACCCACAUAGUGGGUCAAGACUCAAGUGUGUUUCAUCAUCCCUGUGCGCCAACGACAAAAGCCUAGCUAUGUGGGGUGCUUGAGUUUAAGCGCAAAUUCUUCGAGACAUCGUGUUGAGAAGAGUGGACAGCGGCGCCAGUGACAAACAACAACCUUCCCCACCACCACCUUACCGCCACCCUCAUUUCUCCACUGACGUCGCUCCAAUGAUAAUGAUCUUUUUAUAGAGGCAUUUUACCCCAGCACAGCCAUCAGCAUCAGUGCUAGAGCCUCAACCAGUGAUUUACAAUCUUCCACUUUAACCCAGCAGGGACACACCAUCCCUCUCUACUCUUUUUCAAAAUCAUCAAUAAACACCAGCAAGGAAAAUUUAGGUGUUAGGUGAUGGCACGUGCUAGGAUCAAAUGGAUGUGUCACACCAAGAGGUGCCAACCGAGCCACUUGCAGGGUGUUGAUGCUGCUGGAGGAGAGCCAGGAAGUAUUACAGCUGCUGGAGCGGUUAUAGGGUCAUCAAGGUCAACUGAAGAUGAUGUCACAUCACCACUACCCAACCGGACAUCCAUUAUGAAUGGCACAAAUGCUUGAG
This is a non-coding RNA of Cherax quadricarinatus, 2587 nucleotides long. NCBI's taxonomy places the organism in Eukaryota, Metazoa, Arthropoda, Malacostraca, Decapoda, Parastacidae. The record is from RefSeq and is a predicted model, not a curated record.